GUGUAAGGGCCCUGUGUGAGCUGUGUGGGUCCUAUCUGUGUAAGGGCCCUAUGUGAGCUGUGUGGUUCCUAUCUGUGUAAGGGUCCUGUGUGAGCUGUGUGGUUCCUAUCUGUGUGAGGGCCCUGUGUGAGCUGUGUGGUUCCUAUCUGUGUGAGGGCCCUGUGUGAGCUGUGUGGUUCCUAUCUGUGUGAGGGCCCUGUGUGAGCUGUGUGGUUCCUAUCUGUGUAAGGGCCCUGUGUGAGCUGUGUGGUUCCUAUCUGUGUAAGGGCCCUGUGUGAGCUGUGUGGUUCCUAUCUGUGUAAGGGCCCUGUGUGAGCUGUGUGGUUCCUAUCUGUGUAAGGGUCCUGUGUGAGCUGUGUGGGUCCUAUCUGUGUGAGCUGUGAGGUUCCUAUCUGUGUAAGGGCCCUGUGUGAGCUGUGUGGGUCCUAUCUGUGUAAGGGCCCUAUGUGAGCUGUGUGGUUCCUAUCUGUGUAAGGGUCCUGUGUGAGCUGUGUGGUUCCUAUCUGUGUGAGGGCCCUGUGUGAGCUGUGUGGUUCCUAUCUGUGUAAGGGCCCUGUGUGAGCUGUGUGGUUCCUAUCUGUGUAAGGGCCCUGUGUGAGCUG
Pelobates cultripes (western spadefoot toad) is the source of this 602-nucleotide non-coding RNA. NCBI's taxonomy places the organism in Eukaryota, Metazoa, Chordata, Amphibia, Anura, Pelobatidae. The record is from the annotation of a GenBank genome assembly.